AGCAUAUAGAGCUGUUAUAAGGACAAAUUUUUAUGGAUCAAGCCUUAAGGAACAGGGGCUGGACCGAAAAAGCCCUGCAAUAACAUGUGUGAUAUAGUACUUUCUUGAACCUAGAAAGCAAAAUUAGAGGGGCUGGAAAGAGUAGUAUUCUAUAUGAGAUUUGUGGUAUUUUUGUGGAGAACUGACUAACAGGCACAUGAUGCUUGGAGCAGCUUGGAAGAGUGGGGCGCAAGUGCUGGGACAGAAACCUGAGCUUUCAGAGAAAUUAAUCUCCAUGAUGUUAAAACAACUCCAGUUCACACAUUAAUAGGAAAAAGACUCAAGUGAGAGAUUUCUAAUGAAAGGGUAGCCAUGAUCAAGCCAUGAACAGCAAAGAGGCAUGGCAAAGGGUUUUUAAAAAUGACAACAUAUUGAGGAAAAUCUAUAUGGAAUUUGUUGGCUCCAACUGCAAUAUUGAGACAGCUGUUGAACUGCAGCCUGAAAAAGCGUAAAAUGUUGAGAACUGGUAACACAAGCUCCAGUUCUGAAACACUUGUGUGACAAGAAGAGAAACUCGUUAGGCAGCUGAAAAUGUCAUGGAACUAAUUGCUUCAUUUUGCUAGCUACCUUCUGCUACAUGCACAUCAAAAACCACUCCGUAAGAUGGAGAAUAUUCAGCUUUUGAGGAGCAGUAGUAGACUCUGUGGCAUUUGAGCACCCCCAUGCUCCAAACUUCUGCUGUCUGGCACCACAGUAAAUAAAUGCCACUACUCCCAUUUUACAGACAGGGAUGUAGAUCAAAAUAAAUGAAGUGAUUUUCUAAAGGUUGCACUGAGAGUUUGUUGGCAGGUCAGGGACCAAACCCAAGACCCCAGAGAAGUAGUUAAAUCUUUAGCCACUGGAAUUUUUUAUUGCUGAAUUGUGAAACAGGUAUUUUUUGAUAAUCCGGAAUUGUUAUUCUUCUCUUCUUUGACAGAUUUAAGAGCUUUCAUGUGCCACCUCCUUGUUCUCUCAUGUGUUUAUAUGGAGCAUUGCAUAUUUGGUUGAAAGCCAAAUGUGCCUCAGUUCCUCAUCUGCUCUUUUUAUGUUGCAACUUAUCUCCCAUCCCACCUCAGCAUUGUCUUUUAUAAGUGUAUCUCUAAUCUCAAGCAGCAUUUAGCAAACCAAGAUACCAGUGUCACAAGGGGUGACUGCAACAGUGGUGCUCCUAAUGAUCCCCCCUAGUACAUCUAUGGAAAACUUGAGCAGCCCUAGGAACAGAUCACUAGGUGUUUGAGAUUAUUUUCAAGAACCUUCACUAAGCAUUCACCAGGAACAGGGAGACAGCUGUUAACACUCCAGAAAUACCAAGUGAAGGUUUGAAUACCAAUCCAGAAAAGGAGUUAAAAAUAUAGUAGAUGAUUUAUCAAGGGCAUAUUGGAGAAGUGUGAAUAGAGAUGGUGCUGUCAUGAUGUAUCUCACAGUGCCUGAUGCUGGAAUGACUGCUAAGAGAUUUCCAGUUAGACACAGCAAAAUUUAUGAUAAUUACAAGUGUUGAGUGAGUACCAAAAUGGGUACCAAAAGACAAAAUGGGAAGAGCCUGAGGACAAGGGAAUUUGUUGAGGACAAUGGAAUUUGGGUGGUUGGGUUUGUUGUUGAGGUCUUUUUUCAGAUCUGUUGUUUGGUUUGAUUGUGUUGUUUUUAAAUGUUCUGACAGAGUUUAUUAUAAAGAGGUAAGAGGAAAAUGGCAUUUUAUCACCAUCCCACUUGCCAUCAGCAGCAGUUCUCCCCCUCCCUAGCUCCAGAAAUCAAGGGAUGGAGAGAGGACAGAGGUCUGGGGAAGGAGUGCUGAGUGCUGCAUUGUAGUGUGGGUGGUGAGGCCUGAAGGAAGAGCAUCUGCUGCUUUUGUUUCCCCCACUUCAUCACUACUGAUUUUAGAGGCAUCUGGAAUGUAGCCAAUCAUACAAAGGAAGUAACUUAAUCCAAAUAAUAGGCAUUUGUAAUAAAAUACAAAAGCAUACUUGGCAAGAGGUUUUACAAAAGAAGAAAUGUUUUAACCUGAGGUGUGAUCACACCUGAGGUGUGAACUGCUGAAUGCUGUGUGUUUAGGAAAGAUGGAUGCAAAAUUGAAGGAGCUGCUGGCACUGCUUGAGUGAUAUGUGAACUCAGUUUCAUCUACAUUACUUGGAAUUGGCUUUUAGCUCCUGCUUCUCUAUUGUCUGCACUGCUUUGACAGUAACUUUAUAAAAGUAGGAGCCAACUGCUCUGAGGGAUCUGUGUCUCCAACCUGGGUGUUCAAGUCCAAGUCCAGCCUGGUAGCUGGCUGGCCAUGUGUGUGCACAGGUGCCACUUCCGUGCACACAAUUGCUAUGCUAGUGCCAAGAGAUGCAUCACGUACGAUUUGUGCAGGCACACAUGCAAAUAGAUUAGAUAACUUGAAAAUCUAGUCCUGAAAGUAUUCCAGUUAUUACCAGAGAUGCAAUUUACCUUGAAUUUGUUCAAUAACAGCAUUUUAGAAUGAGGCAAUCCUAAUGAUUACAAAAAGCGACCUGCAAUAAUUUCUCCUCACAUGUUCCAUUAAUUUUGAAUACAGUGUAUGGACACUAAGCUCCGAUUCUCUGCCUUUGAUCCUCUGGUAGCUAUUUAUUCCUACACAAACGGGACUCUAAAUUCUGCUGAACUGGAACUCAGUCAUCCUGCAUUGCUCUGCUAGCGUGAACAAACCAUUUCUGAAAGCACAAACAGACUCAAUGGGAUGUCUGGACUAACCUAUAGACAAUAGAAGUUAAAUCAAAUCUCUUCUACCAAGCAGAGAGGACCUCAGGCUUAGAAAAAGCUGGAAUGCAGAAAUGAAUGCUGGAAUGCAGAAAGAGAUAUUUACUACUGGUGGAGCAGGGCAAUAGCAUGUUCUCUUGGACACUCUUAGCAGCAGCCUGUUUCACUCAAACAGGUUGAAAUCAAAACCCCGAACCUUGUUUGUCUCUACACUUGCUGAAAG
Molecule: long non-coding RNA, 2956 nt
Organism: Pezoporus occidentalis (night parrot)
Lineage: Eukaryota; Metazoa; Chordata; Aves; Psittaciformes; Psittacidae
Exons: 3
Source: RefSeq, a predicted model, not a curated record